Long non-coding RNA from Octopus sinensis (East Asian common octopus), 443 nucleotides. RefSeq lists it as uncharacterized. NCBI's taxonomy places the organism in Eukaryota, Metazoa, Mollusca, Cephalopoda, Octopoda, Octopodidae. The transcript is spliced from 2 exons. The record is from RefSeq and is a predicted model, not a curated record.
AGUCUGAAAAAGAAAGUCACUCACAGUUGCAACAACAACAACAACAACAGAAACAACUAUCCGACUUUAAUUGAACGUUGUAAUAUUAAGAUCAGACUAAUGUUGUAUAUCGCUUGGUUCGAAUUAGGAUAAUGUGCACAGCAAUCGAUUAGAUGAACGACAACUGUUUCAGAUGGAAUGAGGCCAAAAUACUGAGAAACAGCCAUUCAACUGUAUCCACCCUGGAACACGAAGGCUGAAAUGGGCAGUUAAAAAUACAAACUUCUGUAAGAAUGUAUGUAUAAGCAACAAUUAGCAGCGGAACGGGGUAGGAUAUUUCCAAUUAUAUUGAUCCUCGUUUAUAUGGAUUUACUGGAGAUAUAGCAGCAGUUACACCAGCCUAUGAAGAGCAUGCUACAAUGACCAAAAACUAGCUUUACGUUCAUUUCUGAUAAUGUUAUCAC